This 423-nucleotide long non-coding RNA is filed under the name Mytilus galloprovincialis (Mediterranean mussel). Lineage: Eukaryota; Metazoa; Mollusca; Bivalvia; Mytilida; Mytilidae. The record is from RNAcentral.
GUUCGUUCGUUCGUCCGUCUGUCCCGCUUCAGGUUAAAGUUUUUGGUCAAGGUAGUUUUUGAUGAAGUUGAAGUCCUAUCAACUUAAAACGUAGUACACAUGUUCCCUAUGAUUUGAUCCGUCAAAUUUUAAUGUCAAUUUUUCAAAAAAUUUAAAAAAAUUGAGUAUUCAGAAGGUCAGGCCGAUAAAAAAUUAUUCCUAGAAGUUUUGACAUACUGGCAACGUAUGCAUGUAACUAAUGUCUGGAUGAUUCUCGUAAAAUAAUGUCCGAUCUUGCAAUAAAGUUAAAAUUUAUUUAUACUGCUUAUUUGACAAAAUUUUAUCAUUAUGACAAAGGGUCAUUGUUGUUUUUCAUUUGUUUCAUUUCAAUUUGUCUUAAGAAGAAAUGAUAAACAUUUCGCCUGAUCUCACUGAAGCUUACAG